AGGGUUUGAUUCUGGCUCAGGAUGAACGCUGGCGGCGUGCUUAACACAUGCAAGUCGAACGGGAUCCAGGCAGCUUGCUGCCUGGUGAGAGUGGCGAACGGGUGAGUAAUGCGUGACCGACCUGCCCCAUACACCGGAAUAGCUCCUGGAAACGGGUGGUAAUGCCGGAUGCUCCAGUCCAUCGCAUGGUGGUCUGGGAAAGAUUUCAUCGGUAUGGGAUGGGGUCGCGUCCUAUCAGGUAGUCGGCGGGGUAACGGCCCACCGAGCCUACGACGGGUAGCCGGCCUGAGAGGGCGACCGGCCACAUUGGGACUGAGAUACGGCCCAG
This 328-nucleotide ribosomal RNA is filed under the name uncultured bacterium. RNAcentral's name for it is "bacterial SSU rRNA". It matches the Rfam family "Bacterial small subunit ribosomal RNA", at positions 8 to 334 of the family's 1533-position model. The record is from RNAcentral.